RNAcentral lists this long non-coding RNA (272 nucleotides) under Setaria viridis. Its description in RNAcentral is "long non-coding RNA (SVIR_LNC000545)". The record is from RNAcentral. Lineage: Eukaryota; Viridiplantae; Streptophyta; Magnoliopsida; Poales; Poaceae.
AACCGCGUUCAUUUAGGAGACGUUGUAGAACCGACUAGUUAUUAUAGGGAGAGACGUAAUGGUUGCCUUGUCACCGGCACUGACCGCGUAAGACCCGAGUUCGGGCAGUUGUUUUUGGUUAUGUGUAAGGUAGGCCGUGCAUGCGUCAUAUCUAAAAAGUUGUAAGGUUUCCUUCUCAACAGCAACCUUGUUCGGAAGAGUUCUUUUGGAUCUAAGGAUUUCUAGUUUCUUUUGGUUGCUCUUGGUCAAAACCGUAUGCUUCUCUAUCCGAC